Melospiza melodia melodia is the source of this 1785-nucleotide long non-coding RNA. RefSeq lists it as uncharacterized. The transcript is spliced from 3 exons. NCBI's taxonomy places the organism in Eukaryota, Metazoa, Chordata, Aves, Passeriformes, Passerellidae. The record is from RefSeq and is a predicted model, not a curated record.
UAAACCAUGGUGAGCUGAGCUGCUCUGCAAGUCUUGAAGUGAGUGCUGUAGCCCUUCCAUGCAUGGAGAAAGUUUGGAUAGAGGUUUUACCUAACACACAGCCUUUCCUCUGCUGGAGUUCAGCAUGGAGUUCUGGCCUAUAUGGAGUAAAAGUAAAUGUGUGAGUCGCUGCACCUCACAAGCUCAUCGGUGCCUACAGCUCUGUGGCUUCUUCAGUCUCCUCUGCCCCUCUCCUUCCCCACCCUCAACGCUCUCAACAUGAUGUGACACCAGGAAUCCUUUGGCAAAAUGCUACCACACCACAACCAGAACUUUUAGGCUCCUGUCCAGCUCACACAGUGCCCAUCCUCUGUGUAAACCGUUUUGUACAAGCUCUGUCCACCACAACACAAUUGGUGCUGGAAAAGUUCUGUCGUGGGUGUCAGCGCUUACAUUGGGAUCCCAUUGCUCUCGCUUGUCUGGGAUGGCGCACGUGGAUUGUGCUGACGGAGGGUGCUGGGCUGAGAGGGGCCUGAUAAGGCAGUGUGACCCUGACAUAGGUUGUCAGCAGCGCUGCCAUCGCCAGCGGGAGCAGGGGGAGGACUGAAAUUCUCCCGUUCAAUUGGGCGAAUUUGAUACCUUCUUGUUCUUGUGUCCUCGUGGCUCGGCCACUUGACAUUUCUAAACAUUCUCAAGCAAGUUCACUGGAAAACUAUCCCAUGUCAGAAGCUGGUGAUGUCAAGGCUAAUAACAGUCCUGGGGUCAAAUCCUUCUGAUCCUUCAGGCAAGGACCUCAAGAUUUGGCUCCAAGUCAACAACAAGGUCUGUCACGUCAAUGAUGGCUUAUUAUGAAUCCCAGCGCAAGCCUUUCCCAAACAAAGUGCUUUCCCUUGGUUUCCCAUGCAGGAAAAGGUUAGCAGUUUCCAAAGGCAGGUUCUCACUUCCUUGUGUGGAGUGGAGAGCAAAGCCAGUGAGCUUGGAACGGGCAACAGCACUUUGCCUUAGAGCAGGAGACAGGUAAAUCUUUAUCUGGGAAAUUCUCUUCCCAUUUGGAAUGGAACAAGAUUACUGUUUUCAUUUCUAGAGGUACUGGGAGUUUUUUUCUCUGUCUCUGCCCAUCGUUUGGAUGUGACAAUAUCACUGGGCUGCCUUUGUUAAUGUUACAAUGGAGCUCAGAAAGCCGAACGAGCAGUGCUGGGAACUGCACGGCUGGAUGUCGGGGAAGGAGAUAGCAGGGAUCGGACUGGCUCACACUCUGCUGCACUGAAAAAAGGAUUUGUAAAUUGACAUUCCCUCAGCUAUUACUUUAUAACCCCAGCACUGUGUUGAGAAUGAUGCCACUGGAAUGGUGUCCAAAAUGGUAAUUAUAACCACUUCCUAUUUUUAAUUUCUUCUUCAUAAGGGACACAGUGGUCAUCAUCUGAACGAUAACGAUUCUGCUCUGCCCUUCCAGAUGUCGGAACGUUAUAAAGCAUGGAUUAACAAACACUGAUGUCUCUCUGCAGACCUUCCUUGUGAACUGAAAGCUCUGGUGCUCCCCAGCUGACACACACACCCCACCAGGCUUGGCUGUGGAUCCAGAAGAGGGCAAUGGUGGCACAUCCUCACCGAGGCUCUGAGCACCAAACCCACCGAGGGCAGCCCCUGCAGGCAUGGAGCCAGCAGCCAGGCCACCCUGGCUAGUGGAUCUGCCUGUUCCUGGCUGGUUCGUGGCAAGCAGAUUGAAGUGGGAGGCAGCUUUCAGCUACUGUCUCAGCUUUUGUCCUGGUGCUGAAUGUGUUCUUUUCCCCACGUGUCACUUCCAGA